Molecule: transfer RNA, 72 nt
Filed under: Candidatus Kaiserbacteria bacterium
Lineage: Bacteria; Candidatus Kaiseribacteriota
Description: tRNA-Arg
Rfam family: tRNA
About the family: Transfer RNA (tRNA) molecules are approximately 80 nucleotides in length.
Source: RNAcentral
GCCCCCGUAGCUCAAUGGAUAGAGCUCCGCAGUCCUAAUGCGGCAAUGUAGGUCCGAUUCCUGCCGGGGGCA